GGACAGCUUGUUCCUUCUCUGAGGGCAAAAGACAAGGGAGCCAGGUUUCCUUAGCCUUUUUCUCUGGGCAGCGUUUUUUCAGACAGGAAGGGCGGGAGAAGGGCUCCCAGGAUGAGUCCUGGUAGCCAUGUCUGCAGCUCUACUGCCAUCGUGCGGAAACAGUUUCAAGAAGACACCCAGCGCCAUUCAUGCCUCCUUCCCAGGAGGCCUUGCUGUUGGGCAGAUCGGACAGGCAGGGAGUUGGAAGAUCCUUGGGCUGCCAUCUGGGCCUCCUUGCCUUCUCCUAGGGCCCUGAGGGAGACCUGGGCAGUGGCGCUCCCUCACCAUAGAACCUGCAGAGCAGGGGGCCCAGAGCUGACUAGCAGCAGCCAGGAAUUGCUCUCACAGGAAGUCGUGGGGCGGGGCCUCGUUGCUCAACUGUGUGGACUUCACCUGAGGGACACUGUGCAAAGGGUAAUGCAGGCCCUUGUGGAUACUGUUUCCUUGUUCAGGUCCCUUGGAGCAAGAUAUAGCAGUCCCUUAUGUGAAGUCACCAUGCUGUUGUGCUCGGAUCCCUUAGCCCCCAGGUGGAGCCCAAAGGACAUGUCAGUUUUGGGUGGCAUAGGGCAGCAUCAGAAGUGUGUCCAGUUGUUUGCAGGCAGGCCUAAUUGUCUGGAGGCUAGGGUGGUCUGAAGAGAAGGGCAGAGAAGAAUUGGAAGAACUUGCAGUGCAGCCGAUCUGCUAAAGACAAGCACCAAGAACGCUUAUGUUUGCAAAGCUGUUAUUUGGUGGAGCCUAUGCAAAAAUUCACUUAAAAUGCAUCAAGGAUCUCCUCAUGAAAACCACACGGACAGCAUUUGAAAGACAAAUGUAGGCCUACAUGUUGCUGUCCAUGGAUGUGGCAAUGUUGUCUUGAAAACACUGCUGAAAGCAGAAAUGAGAGAAGAAUGACUGGAUGGUCAGGAAGUCAUCUCCUUUUGCUUCCAAGGGAGUGACCAACAAUAGGAAGAGGCAGCUCACAGAAUAAGAGAAAAAAGUUGCAAUUACCUGGGAACAUUCUCACACUCAGAAUUUUUGAGGAAACUGGGCUUCGCAACCUCUUUGUAUCGCCAGGCUGAGACAAAGCAGAAAUGCAGAGUCUGGGUGCAGAACCUGGAUAAUGAUGGACACCAGGAAUGUGCACACAGGUACCACCAGAACAGACCUGACCUUGAUGUUCUCAACACUGUGAGGAGGGAUCCCCGUGCCAUUGCACAGUGACAUCAAGAAAGUGCAUGUUCCUUCUUGUUCCAAGGGGAACAACACAAGGCUGGUACCCUCAAGAGACUGCAUUAGCCUUUUUCCCGGUUUUUUUUUUUUUUUUUUUUCUUUCUUUCUUUUCUUUUUUUUGACAGAGUAUAGAGGUGGUUUAUUUUACUGAGUUGGAAAGUUUUCGUGUUUAUUAAUCCGAAUGUUAUAAUGAAUGACCCCUUCCCAGAUAAUUAACACUUUGCAUUUUAAACGUUUAUUUCUGUAGGACAUCUUCUAUCAUUGGAAGCAGAAGGCACGAGGGAAAAGAUAGUCGUCCACCUCCCCUUGAGGGCUCACAUCCAGCAGUCGAUGGGGCGCCCCAGGAUCCCAAGCAGCUUAUAGUAGGUGACAGAAACCUGUUCUUCUGGGCUCAGUAAUUGCAAGGAAGGGCACUUCUCAGUAGCUGGUGAGUCACAGAAAGCCUCACAGCCCUGCAGGUGAGUAACAGAGGGCGCUCCCAGGUCAGCUGCUCAGUGGGGCCUGGGCCCCCAUAGCUGAAUACACUGGAAAUGCCCUAUUAUGGGGUUCGGAGAGCAACAGGCUGCCCUUCUAAGAGGGACUUUGGCCCGCAGGGACCUUAGGACCUUCCAGUGCCCGCAGGUAGCCAGUACACCUGUCCAAGGGCUGUGGCCUGUCCUGCCA
RNAcentral lists this long non-coding RNA (1911 nucleotides) under Marmota monax (woodchuck). The record is from RNAcentral. Lineage: Eukaryota; Metazoa; Chordata; Mammalia; Rodentia; Sciuridae.